RNAcentral lists this ribosomal RNA (425 nucleotides) under uncultured bacterium. Its description in RNAcentral is "bacterial SSU rRNA". It matches the Rfam family "Bacterial small subunit ribosomal RNA", at positions 355 to 772 of the family's 1533-position model. The record is from RNAcentral.
UGGGGAAUUUUGGACAAUGGGGGCAACCCUGAUCCAGCCAUGCCGCGUGCGGGAAGAAGGCCUUCGGGUUGUAAACCGCUUUUAGCCGGGAAGAAAAGGCGGAGGUGAAUACCCUCCGUUCUUGACGGUACCGGCGGAAUAAGCACCGGCUAACUACGUGUCAGCAGCCGCGGUAAUACGUAGGGUGCGAGCGUUAAUCGGAAUUACUGGGCGUAAAGCGCACGUAGGCGGCCUUUCAAGUCAGAUGUGAAAGCCCCGGGCUUAACUCGGGAACUGCAUUUGAUACUGUUGGGCUAGAGACCGGGAGAGGAUAGCGGAAUUCCCAGUGUAGAGGUGAAAUUCGUAGAUAUUGGGAAGAACACCAGUGGCGAAGGCGGCUAUCUGGACCGGUACUGACGCUGAGGUGCGAAAGCGUGGGGAGCAAA